GACGAACGCUGGCGGUGUGCUUAACACAUGCAAGUCGAACGGUAAGGCCCUUUCGGGGGUACACGAGUGGCGAACGGGUGAGUAACACGUGAGUAACCUGCCCUCAUCUCUGGGAUAACAGUCGGAAACGGUUGCUAAUACUGGAUAUGAGCUUGCAAGGCAUCUUGUGGGUUGGAAAGAUUUUUUGGUUGGGGAUGGACUCGCGGCCUAUCAGCUUGUUGGUGAGGUAGUGGCUCACCAAGGCUUCGACGGGUAGCCGGCCUGAGAGGGCGACCGGCCACAUUGGGACUGAGAUACGGCCCAAACUCCUACGGGAGGCAGCAGUGGGGAAUAUUGCACAAUGGACGGAAGUCUGAUGCAGCAACGCCGCGUGCGGGAUGACGGCCUUCGGGUUGUAAACCGCUUUCAAUUGUGACGAAGCUUUUUGUGACGGUAGCAGUAGAAGAAGCACCGGCUAACUACGUG
This 465-nucleotide ribosomal RNA is filed under the name uncultured bacterium. RNAcentral describes it as "partial 16S ribosomal RNA". It matches the Rfam family "Bacterial small subunit ribosomal RNA", at positions 28 to 507 of the family's 1533-position model. The record is from RNAcentral.